This 398-nucleotide ribosomal RNA is filed under the name uncultured bacterium. Its description in RNAcentral is "partial 16S ribosomal RNA". It matches the Rfam family "Bacterial small subunit ribosomal RNA", at positions 523 to 918 of the family's 1533-position model. The record is from RNAcentral.
AUACGUAGGGUGCGAGCGUUGUCCGGAAUUACUGGGCGUAAAGAGCUCGUAGGUGGUUUGUCGCGUCGUCUGUGAAAUUCCGGGGCUUAACUCCGGGCGUGCAGGCGAUACGGGCAUAACUUGAGUACUGUAGGGGAGACUGGAAACCCGGGUGUAGCGGGGAAAUGCGCAGAUAUCAGGAGGAACACCGGUGGCGAAGGCGGGUCUCUGGGCAGUAACUGACGCUGAGGAGCGAAAGCAUGGGUAGCGAACAGGAUUAGAUACCCUGGUAGUCCAUGCCGUAAACGGUGGGCGCUAGGUGUAGGGGUCUUCCACGACUUCUGUGCCGUAGCUAACGCAUUAAGCGCCCCGCCUGGGGAGUACGGCCGCAAGGCUAAAACUCAAAGGAAUUGACGGGG